RNAcentral lists this ribosomal RNA (1330 nucleotides) under Chryseobacterium timonianum. RNAcentral describes it as "bacterial SSU rRNA". It matches the Rfam family "Bacterial small subunit ribosomal RNA", at positions 1 to 1347 of the family's 1533-position model. Lineage: Bacteria; Pseudomonadati; Bacteroidota; Flavobacteriia; Flavobacteriales; Weeksellaceae. The record is from RNAcentral.
UAGAGUUUGAUCCUGGCUCAGGAUGAACGCUAGCGGGAGGCCUAACACAUGCAAGCCGAGCGGUAGAGAUUCUUCGGGAUCUUGAGAGCGGCGUACGGGUGCGGAACACGUGUGCAACCUGCCUUUAUCUGGGGGAUAGCCUUUCGAAAGGAAGAUUAAUACCCCAUAAUAUAUUUUUCGGCAUCGAAAGAUAUUGAAAACUCCGGUGGAUAGAGAUGGGCACGCGCAAGAUUAGAUAGUUGGUGAGGUAACGGCUCACCAAGUCUGCGAUCUUUAGGGGGCCUGAGAGGGUGAUCCCCCACACUGGUACUGAGACACGGACCAGACUCCUACGGGAGGCAGCAGUGAGGAAUAUUGGACAAUGGGUGAGAGCCUGAUCCAGCCAUCCCGCGUGAAGGACGACGGCCCUAUGGGUUGUAAACUUCUUUUGUAUAGGGAUAAACCUACCCUCGUGAGGGUAGCUGAAGGUACUAUACGAAUAAGCACCGGCUAACUCCGUGCCAGCAGCCGCGGUAAUACGGAGGGUGCAAGCGUUAUCCGGAUUUAUUGGGUUUAAAGGGUCCGUAGGCGGAUCUGUAAGUCAGUGGUGAAAUCUCACAGCUUAACUGUGAAACUGCCAUUGAUACUGCAGGUCUUGAGUGUUGUUGAAGUAGCUGGAAUAAGUAGUGUAGCGGUGAAAUGCAUAGAUAUUACUUAGAACACCAAUUGCGAAGGCAGGUUACUAAGCAACAACUGACGCUGAUGGACGAAAGCGUGGGGAGCGAACAGGAUUAGAUACCCUGGUAGUCCACGCCGUAAACGAUGCUAACUCGUUUUUGGGUUUUCGGAUUCAGAGACUAAGCGAAAGUGAUAAGUUAGCCACCUGGGGAGUCGAACGCAAGUUUGAAACUCAAAGGAAUUGACGGGGGCCCGCACAAGCGGUGGAUUAUGUGGUUUAAUUCGAUGAUACGCGAGGAACCUUACCAAGGCUUAAAUGGGAAAUGACAGGUUUAGAAAUAGACUUUUCUUCGGACAUUUUUCAAGGUGCUGCAUGGUUGUCGUCAGCUCGUGCCGUGAGGUGUUAGGUUAAGUCCUGCAACGAGCGCAACCCCUGUCACUAGUUGCCAUCAUUAAGUUGGGGACUCUAGUGAGACUGCCUACGCAAGUAGAGAGGAAGGUGGGGAUGACGUCAAAUCAUCACGGCCCUUACGCCUUGGGCCACACACGUAAUACAAUGGCCGGUACAGAGGGCAGCUACACUGCGAAGUGAUGCAAAUCUCGAAAGCCGGUCUCAGUUCGGAUUGGAGUCUGCAACUCGACUCUAUGAAGCUGGAAUCGCUAGUAAUCGCGC